GCAGACGUCACAAUGCUGCCCACAAAAUCUCGUGCCGAUCGGAAAACAGACGAGACCACGAUCUCAGUUUCAAUCUCUGCUGGUCCCAAUUCGCGUCUGAGAAAACGUGUCUCACGAAACUGCCAAUAACUCAACCAAUUUUAAUCCAAAUCCAAUUCUGUAAAUUAGAGAAUAACGAUAACGGAUUUGGGAAUAACUCUACCAAAUUUCUUUACCUUUUACCACGAUUUGAUAUGACGAAACUGAUUUCUCCCAAACCCUAACGAUUCUGCUCCUUCUCCUUUUCUCUCUUUUUCUCCUUUAUAAACUGAAAAGUGGCUAACCAAAGCCCUAAUUUCGAGUUUCCUUCUUUUAUAGGCAUACUCUAGAGUUUCCAAUUAACCCAACCAAUUAAACCGGAUGAUUUAAAAACAAACUCUAACUGAUUUUCCGGUUCACGGGCGUUACAAUUCUCCCCCACUAACAUAGAUUCGUCCUCGAAUCUAGCUUCACCCUUCCACUCCGAGGAACUCCGUGCAACCAUCACUACAGUCCGCACUCCCUCCAACCAGACCCCUUCUAGGUCUCUCUAUCCAGUCGAUAUACUCACGAUUUACUAGUCAUUGUUGCUCACAACUCACUCUCCACUCUCAGACCGCAAUCUUCGAGCAUAAACCGUCACUCUCAGGCCUCGGCCUACGGUAUCUCGGGUAUCGCACAUAUUAUCUUCCCCACUCAAAGUCAAACCCUGAGUUGUGUAGGCUCCCUCUCAGCCACAAAGUCAUCGAGUUACGACACUUGGAGAAAAUAAUACCACAAAACUCGCUCUCGGGUCGUCACCCUAAAGCGUGCUCUCGGAUCGUCACCCGAAGCCACCGUACCCCUCGUACUUUAAAGACACCAUGUCCCUCAAGUUACCGGUACCUCAGGAGCAUACCCCGCUCCUCACGAGUCGUUGGGACCUUCAUAUCCCUCGAGCAACAAUACUAAACGCUUUCGAGCAUAUCUCCAGACUCUCUCAUGGAUUCGCGUAAGACACCUCUAUGCCUCACCAUCCAUCAUAUCCCCUCGAGAAUAUCCUUAUGACCAACUCCCGGCCAUCUCGUAAACACACGUUUCUCUUAGGUUGUUUACUCAAACUUUCCAAAAAUAGACAAGUCCUUUCUAGGAAACUUUCCAUUUUUGGAAACCGCACAACACAUUCUUAAAUAAGACAACUCAAGUCAAAUCCAAGAAAAAAAAUACUCAUCUUAUUAAUCAUCAACUGUUAUGAUCGUUACAACUCCAACGAAAAUACAAAUGAAAGAGAAAUAAGAACAACAACUCAAAAGCUCAAAAACUCAACAACACUGAAACUGGAAACCAAGGAAAGGCAAACUCAUGCAGUAACCUGCUUCUCGAACCACUUCUUGAACCUUGCCUUCAUCCUCGCCUCUGGCUCCCAAGUCUCCUCUGUCACACCAUCGCAGUCCCACAGGACUUUGAUCAAAGGAAUCUUCUUCCGCCGAAGUUCCUUGAUCCUCCUCUCGAGAACCCUCACUGGUCUCGCCUCCAAAGUCAUGUUGGGCUGAAGAUCCUCUGGAAUCUUAGCCAACACCUCAUCAUCCUUGUGAAGACACUUCCUCAGCAUCGACACAUGAAAGACCUUGUGAAACGCACGCAUAACAUCAGACAACUCUAACCUGUAUACCUCAGACUCAACUUAGUCUCUGAGAUAGACCUGUUCGGACCUCGCAACAUGGCCAUCUUAAGAUACACCCUGUCCCCAACCUCAAACUCAAGCUCUCUCCUCCUCUUGUCAGCAUAACUCCGUUGUCGAUCCUGAGCUUCCUUCAUGUUCAGCUUAAGAACCCGGAUCCUCUCCGUGUUCUCCUGAACAUAAUCUGCACCAUAUAUGCUCCUCUCCCCCACUUGGGUCCAGCAUAACGGUGUCCUACCUGGCCUACCGUACAACGCCUCAAAAGGAGCCAUCCCAAUACUCGCCUGAUAGCUAUUGUUAUAAGCAAACUCUACCAGACUCAAGUGAUCCGCCCAAUGACCUCCCCAAUCCAAGACACACAUCCGCAACAUAUCCUCAAGCGUCUGAAUAGUCCUCUCAGAUUGCCCAUCUGUCUGUGGAUGAUAAGUCGUGCUCAUCUGCACCUUAGUACCCAUCUCUGCCUGAAAGGCUCUCCAAAAUGCAGAAGUAAACUUGGAAUCCCUGUCUGACACAAUACUCACAGGUACUCCAUGCAACUUCACGAUCUCGCUCACAUAUUUCUUAGCCAACACCGCCGCUCCAUCGGUUUUUCUGAUGGCCAGAAAAUGUGCUGACUUAGUCAGACGGUCCACGAUCACCCAAAUAGCAUCUUUGAUUCGCGACACAGGCAACCCAACCACAAAAUCCAUCGUGAUAAAAUCCCACUUCCACUCAGGAAUGGGUAAACUCUGCAACAUGCCACCUGGCACCUGAUGCUCAGCCUUAACUAACUGGCAAACAUCGCACUCUGCAACCCAAUUAGCUACAUCCCUCUUCAUCCCGACCCACUGAUAGUACCGCUUGAGGUCUCGGUACAUCUUAGUCGCUCCUGGAUGAAUGGAAAACAUGCUCGCAUGAGCCUCACUCAAGAUCUCCCGUCGCAACUCCUCAUCCUUAGGCACACAAACUCGCCCAUGCACAAGGAUAGUCCCAUUAGCUGCAAACUGAUACUCAGAGACCUCUGCCUUAGAAGCCGCAAUCAACCCCUCAUCCUUCUCCUGAGCCAACCGAACUCUAGUCAGAAGAUCUGCUCGAUCCGCAGCUUCCAAUCCCAAUGGCUCUCGUGCCACAGCACACAACCGCAAAGCACCAAUCUCACUCACCAAGGCCUCAACACUCUGCCCUGGACCCGCACCCACGCGCUUACGGCUCAACGCGUCUGCAACCACAUUAGCCUUACUGGGAUGGUAAGCUAUCUCCAGAUCAUAAUCAGCCACCAAUUCCAUCCAUCGCCUCUGCCUCAGGUUCAGCUCUGGCUGAGUGAAGAUAUACUUCAAACUCUUAUGAUCCGUGAACACCUGCACUUUCCCGCCAUAAAGAUAAGGCCUCCGAAUUUUCAAGGCAAAGAUUACUGCAGCCAUCUCCAAAUCGUGAGUAGGAUAGUUGCCCUCAUGCUUUCUCAACUGCCGUGAUGCAUAAGCAAUAACCUUUCCACGCUGCAUCAGAACACAACUCAACCAACUCUCGAGGCAUCAGUAUACACCAUGUAAGGCUCUCCAUGCUCUGGCAAUGCUAACACUGGUGUACUCGUCAACAUCUCUUUCAGGCUCACGAAACCCUCCUCGCACUCCGGUGACCACACAAAAGGAACAUCCUUCCGUGUCAGCUUAGUCAUCGGCUGUGCCAUACUCGCAAACCCCUUGACGAACCUCCUGUAAUACCCUGCCAACCCAAGAAAACUCCUGAUCUCAGUGGCAUUCGUCGGUCUAGGCCAAUCUCUGAUAGCCUCAAUCUUCUCUGGAUCCACUGAAACUCCCUCUGCAGAAACAAUGUGACCCAGAAAACCUAUCUUUCUCUGCCAGAAACUAUACUUACUCAACUUAGAGAACAAUUUCUGCUCCCGCAACUUCUCCAUCACUCUCCUCAGAUGUACCUCAUGCUCCUCAGGACUCUUAGAAUACACCAGAAUGUCAUCAAUAAAGAUGAUCACAAACUCAUCCAAAAACUCCUGGAACACGUUGUUCAUCAACCUCAUGAACGCUGCAGGUGCAUUAGUCAACCUGAAAGGCAUCACCACGAACUCAAAAUGUCCAUAUCUCGUCCUGAAAGCAGUCUUGCGAACAUCUGCCUCCGCUAUCGGGAUCUGGUGAUAACCUGACGUCAAAUCGAUUUUGGAGAAACAAGUAGCACCCCUCAACUGAUCCAACAACUCAUUGAUCCUUGGCAAAGGGUACUUGUUCUUCACAGUGACCCGGUUCAACUCCCGGUUGUCAAUACAUAAGCAGAAACUCCCGUCCUUCUUCUUCACAAAUAACACCGGCGCUCCCCAAAGUGAAGUACUAGGACGAAUGAAUCCCUUACCCAACAAAUCCUCUAGGUACUUCUUUAGCUCUGCCAUCUCUGCUGGAGCCAUCCUGUAGGGUGCCUUAGACAACGGCGCUGUCCCUGGUUCCAACUCAAUCGUGAAAGGAUCAGACCGUGAUGGUGGUAAUCCCUGCAACGAUUGAAACACAUCCUCGAAGUCCUGAAUAACCCGAAUGUCGCUCACUGCUACCUGCCCCACAGACUCCGGCAUAGAUAUCGUCACCAGGUAAGCCUCGCAUCCCUUCUCGAUCAUUUUCUCUGCCUGCACUGCUGAGAUGACGAGACUCCCUGAGGUAGGUCUCACUCCCUGAUAAACCAACCUUCCCUCUGGCCGCUCAAAAGAAACUCUCCCACGGUGGCAAUGAAGAUGUACUCUGUAAUGAUCCAACCAAUCCAUUCCCAGAAUAACAUCAUACAACUCUACAGGGCUGAUAAUCAAAUCUGCUGGCAUUGACUCCCCUACAAUCUGAAUAUCCACACCCUUCGCUCUCCCCAGAACCGCUAGAAACUGCCCUCCAGCAACCUUGACGGCUCCAAGCUGCUCACCAGGAUCCCCACGGAUGUUGCCGCGCGAGGCACUCUCCGGGGUAAUGAAAAAAUACGAUGCUCCAGAGUCAAACAACACAUGGGCCUCUACACCGCCCACUAAUAAGGUCCCUACACAAACCUCAUGUGCUAAGAACCCUAACAUUCAUCACAAAAUAAUGAUAUCCAAAACAACAGAAAUAUUUCACAAAGUCUGAGUCUCAGAAAUCAUACCAGUAAUCGCUCUGUUGCUAGUACCGCCUAUCUCACGCAUAGUGUAACCCUGCGGUGCCGCUGCAAUAUGUGCCAACUGCUGCACUCCCUGCUGCACCUGCGCUCCGUGCUGCACCGCCGGCUGUACCACUGCCACUGCCAUCCGCUGCACCUUAGGACAAUUCGGCAUGAGAUGUCCCCUCUCCCUGCAGUGGUAGCACUCCCUCGUCUCAGCUCGCUGCGUGCAAUCCACCACCUUGUGGUCAAGGCUCCCACAAGAAAAACAUCCUGCACGACCACCCUGUCCAGCUCUGGAAGGAUGAUCCCACUUCCUCUUCUGCCCCUGCGCAGGCUUGCUGCCCUUGCUAGGUGCCACCUGCUGCUGAGUCUUCUUCGGUUGUACCGCUGGACUCACUCCCCCCUCCUACCUCUGAAGGUCCUCCUUCACCCUGUAUCAGCUCAAGAAAAUGCGCCUCCAUACGGUCGAGCGCCUCCUGCGGAAAGUACUUGGCAUUAAACUAAGCCACGAAAUCUGCCCAAGACAUAUCCGCCUGCCUCCUCCUGGCAGUCACACUCCGCCACCACAAAUGUGCAUCCCCCUCUAGAAAAUGCACUGCUAGAUCUACCCGAUACUCCGCCGAGCAUCUGCUUGAACCGAAGUUCCGCUCAACCCGCGACCUCCAAUUGUCGGCCUCCUCAGGACUAGUACCACCAGAAAAAUAACCGGUGCCAAUCCUCUGCAACUGCUCCAUCAUCCCCAAAUAAGAUGGAACCUUCUCAGCAACCGCAGCCCGCUGCUGCACCUCCGCCGCUCGUGGCGCAACUGGAGCCUCCACUGGUACCAAACCUGGUAACCGCUCCAACAACUGCCUCACAAGGCCCGCCAAACCAACCUUUGGAACCUGGGCUCCUCCGGCUGCGGCACACAUCACUCCUGGGCCCUCAGCACCAACGGCAUGCACACCGGUACCGACACCACCAGCCCCCACUCCGGUUGCACCAGCUAUAUCGGCACCAAGACCGUUCCUAACCCCGGGCUCCACAAACUCAGGUUGCGAACCCACUCUGCUCAACUGUGGCACUGUGGCCAUCACUCUCGCCGGUACCCUCGAGGACUCGUCCCCUACCGCGACCACGACCGCGACCACGACCACGAACUCCAGCUCCUCUAACCAUCUGCGCUACUCAAAAACAAAUGGCUAAGAAACUAAAACAAACGAAUAUAUCACAAACAACUUACCGUGGAAUCUCAUUUAAGGCUUGGAGAAGAUGAUGCUAGAACUCCAACAACACACAAUUGACUAAACACUCCAUAAUCAAUCCUCAAUAUGCUAACACCCUAGCUCAUCCCACAUCAAUCAACAGGAAAAUAAUUCAUCAAUUAAUUUUUCUACACAUCUUAGAACCGUAAUCGCUCUGAUACCAAAUUGAAACAACCCGACCCAUUUUUUUUAAAAAAAAUAAU
This 6224-nucleotide small RNA is filed under the name Arabidopsis thaliana (thale cress). RNAcentral's name for it is "ATSL209130". The record is from RNAcentral. Lineage: Eukaryota; Viridiplantae; Streptophyta; Magnoliopsida; Brassicales; Brassicaceae.